This 486-nucleotide ribosomal RNA is filed under the name uncultured bacterium. RNAcentral's name for it is "partial 16S ribosomal RNA". It matches the Rfam family "Bacterial small subunit ribosomal RNA", at positions 30 to 507 of the family's 1533-position model. The record is from RNAcentral.
AUUGAACGCUGGCGGCAUGCCUUACACAUGCAAGUCGAACGGCAGCACGGGUGCUUGCACCUGGUGGCGAGUGGCGAACGGGUGAGUAAUACAUCGGAACAUGUCCUGUAGUGGGGGAUAGCCCGGCGAAAGCCGGAUUAAUACCGCAUACGAUCUACGGAUGAAAGCGGGGGACCUUCGGGCCUCGCGCUAUAGGGUUGGCCGAUGGCUGAUUAGCUAGUUGGUGGGGUAAAGGCCUACCAAGGCGACGAUCAGUAGCUGGUCGGAGAGGACGACCAGCCACACUGGGACUGAGACACGGCCCAGACUCCUACGGGAGGCAGCAGUGGGGAAUUUUGGACAAUGGGCGAAAGCCUGAUCCAGCAAUGCCGCGUGUGUGAAGAAGGCCUUCGGGUUGUAAAGCACUUUUGUCCGGAAAGAAAUCCUUGGCCCUAAUACGGUCGGGGGAUGACGGUACCGGAAGAAUAAGCACCGGCUAACUACGUG